GCCUCGUUGGCGCAGCUGGCAGCGCUUCACUCUCAUAAUCUGAAGAUCGUGAGUUUGAUCCUCACACAGGGCA
Non-coding RNA from Salmo salar (Atlantic salmon), 73 nucleotides. The record is from Rfam. NCBI's taxonomy places the organism in Eukaryota, Metazoa, Chordata, Actinopteri, Salmoniformes, Salmonidae.